AUGGAUGGAGGAACUUCAUGGGGGCACGGAUGGUUUCAAAUACAGUCACAUCCAAUCCCUCCAAGAUGUAUUUUGUCCUGGCAUCAUAUUUCCUGGCAUUUGCCUAGUGUGGCCUGGAUAAGCAAGGGUUACAUGUUGAACCAAAUUCAGCUGAGACCUCUGGGUGUUACUGACCCAACCUCUACACUUUGGUCGGCUGUUUUCGCAGGGGUAAAAUCUAGAGCUGCUAAGAUAGACGAAACCAUGACCAUGACAAGCACGUGGACCAGGCCACAAUUGUACAAAGGGGACAUUGAUGCUAAGGAUGUGCAUCCUGCCAAAGCCUGCAUUGCCUCCAUUUCUUCCACAUCAUCCGCAGACCUCGUCCGCUUGCCUGAAACUCCUGACCUUUCCCCUCUUGGGCUGCCUCAAGUCUGCAUAAGUGAUGCGCAAGGAACCUGUCCCUACCGGGACUGAAGAGGAGACAGGUGCUGCCUCGUUGCACAGCAUCUCUUGCCAUCUCGCCUCUCUUCCCAGUUCAACAGUUUGGACAACUCGAGAAAUUCAGGUUGGCCAGGAAGGUCAGUUCCAACUGGAUAGCCCUCAGGCUUAAGUCCUUUAAGCAAAUCCAAGUAAAGUGGAUAUAGACUUCACAGUCCUUAAGCUCAGAAAUAUAGAAUGGAGUCUCCUGGGGGGAAUGACAUUUUUUACAUCCUUUUUUGUAAGUUUUAUUGAAGUAGAGUUGAGUUACAUUGUUGUGAUCAUUUCUUCUCGACAACAAAGUGACUCAGUCAUACGUACACACACAUCCAUUCUCAUUUAGAUUCUUUCCCACAUUGAUGAUCACAGAACACUCAUUGGGUAGAGUUCUCUGGGCUCUACAGCAGGUCCCCAUUGGCCAGGCGUUCCAUGUACCUCAAUGUGCAUAACGUUUAUUUCUGGUCUUGAGCUGCCACUCUUUCAGAUACAGAAAAACGGAUCUCAUGACUUUAAGGUAAAUUCUGUCAGCUUUUGUAAUUUCUCAAUCACUUCAGGUUAAAAAAACUGCUACUUUUUUUUCCCCCUUUUAAAAAUAGGAGUUCCUGUCCAGGCACAGUGGUUAAUGAAUCCAACUAGGAACUAUGAGGUUUAGGGUUUGAUCCCUGGCCUUGCUCAGUGGGUUAAGGAUCCAGCGUGGACGUAAGCUGUGG
RNAcentral lists this long non-coding RNA (1169 nucleotides) under Sus scrofa (pig). RNAcentral describes it as "lncRNA (ENSSSCG00070020139.1)". The record is from RNAcentral. Lineage: Eukaryota; Metazoa; Chordata; Mammalia; Artiodactyla; Suidae.